RNAcentral lists this ribosomal RNA (561 nucleotides) under uncultured Ascomycota. RNAcentral's name for it is "SSU rRNA". It matches the Rfam family "Eukaryotic small subunit ribosomal RNA", at positions 37 to 595 of the family's 1831-position model. Lineage: Eukaryota; Fungi; Ascomycota. The record is from RNAcentral.
UCAAAGAUUAAGCCAUGCAUGUCUAAGUAUAAGCAAUUAUACCGUGGAAACUGCGAAUGGCUCAUUAAAUCAGUUAUCGUUUAUUUGAUAAUACCUUACUACUUGGAUAACCGUGGUAAUUCUAGAGCUAAUACAUGCCGAAAAUCCCGACUUCGGAAGGGAUGUGUUUAUUAGAUAAAAAACCAAUGCCCUUCGGGGCUUUUUGGUGAUUCAUGAUAACUUUACGGAUCGCAUAGCCUUGCGCUGGCGACGGUUCAUUCAAAUUUCUGCCCUAUCAACUUUCGAUGGUAAGGUAUUGGCUUACCAUGGUUUCAACGGGUAACGGGGAAUUAGGGUUCGAUUCCGGAGAGGGAGCCUGAGUAACGGCUACCACAUCCAAGGAAGGCAGCAGGCGCGCAAAUUACCCAAUCCCGACACGGGGAGGUAGUGACAAUAAAUACUGAUACAGGGCUCUUUUGGGUCUUGUAAUUGGAAUGAGUACAAUUUAAACCUCUUAACGAGGAACAAUUGGAGGGCAAGUCUGGUGCCAGCAGCCGCGGUAAUUCAAGGGCGAAUUCGUUU